Molecule: long non-coding RNA, 435 nt
Organism: Camelus dromedarius (Arabian camel)
Lineage: Eukaryota; Metazoa; Chordata; Mammalia; Artiodactyla; Camelidae
Exons: 3
Source: RefSeq, a predicted model, not a curated record
CUUAGUAAACACUUAGGAGUAGAAUUGCUGGGUCAUAAGGUAACAUACUAAUUAUUUAAGACAGUGACAAAUAGUUUUUUAAAGUGGUUUACCAUUUUAGAAUUUAUCAAGCAAUGCAUUAAACUUGACAGUAAAGCUUUGUUUUGUUUUCACAUUUUAUCAUGUUCUUACUAAGAAGCAAUGUGGCAAGAAGAAUGAAGACUGGAAUUAGCCCAAGGUAACAGGAGAAAACCAAAAAGAGCUCCAUUGACAAGUGGCACCACUGUCUCCUAAUUUCAAAUAACAAGGAGCCAGACAUUAAAGACUAAAACAUUCAAAAACAACUGCAUGUAUGGGGAAAAUUACAAAAUAACUGCCGAUGCCCAGGGAAAGGCUCAGAAAAGACCUAAGAAUACAUUAAGUUUACAUGUCAGGCUGAUCCUUGGCACUGAAACA